RNAcentral lists this ribosomal RNA (549 nucleotides) under Rhizaspidiotus donacis. RNAcentral's name for it is "eukaryotic LSU rRNA". The record is from RNAcentral. RNAcentral also lists the same sequence under 3 other names. Lineage: Eukaryota; Metazoa; Arthropoda; Insecta; Hemiptera; Diaspididae.
AUCUGGGCGGCGGAAUUCAGGAUGGCGAGCGUGCCUUCGCGGUGCGCUGGUCGUUUGAUAUUUCCGUCGCCGAUCAACCGCAGACGUCGCGACCUGUUCGCGGUCGGUCCCUGCUCGGAGGAGCCGCGUUCGAGUUCGUUGCGUGACGCGUUUCGGCGUGUCACGCGGUGAAGACGCGGAUCUCUGGCUGGCCGUCGGACAGUAUGCUUAACGGUGUCCGGUGCCGUCGUCUCGUACGCGCGCGCACCGGUACCGGUCAGCGACGAAUUCUUCGGGCCUCUUUCCGACCCGUCUUGAAACACGGACCAAGGAGUCUAACAUGCGCGCGAGUCGCGGGGUGUCGAGCGUACCUCGGUGCGUUCGUUACGUUGCGAAACCCGUACAUGUCGAAGGCGUAAUGAAAGUGAAUGGGGAAGAUGGUGUUCCGAGUACACGUUCCGCGAUCGUCGGUAUCGCGGCCGGACACCCGCAUUCCCGGGGCGUCUCAACGGCCCGUCGCUGAUGCGGACAGUCGUCUCUUGGGGCGGCUGUCGGUCGGCGACGAACCGA